AUAGCUCUGCAUCUCCAGAGAGGAUGCUAGCCAGUGAAUUCUGGUCCCAGUACCACCACUACUGCAUACCUUAGAAAACAAAUAUCAUGGCUGGCCCUCUGCUAUUGGACACUAGAUACUGUUGCCACUCCUGAAAUGGAUGGAUUCUCAUCAUUAACUCCUGAUGGCCACGAGAAAUGUGCACCCUGGAAAGGAAAAGCAUCCUGCUGGCGAAGACUUCAGGGCUUGCUGACUCAUGACCUUUCAAAGUGCAGAGCACGGCACGGUGGUGGCACCAUCUGUUUCAUUUUCCACAACUGAAGUCAGACCCUCCUUUGUCAUGUAUUCGUGUCAUUGACUGAAUUCUCUGCUGUGAUACUUUAGACAAUACUACCAGAAAUGAUCCAUUAAACUUCAGUUG
RNAcentral lists this long non-coding RNA (400 nucleotides) under Zalophus californianus (California sea lion). Its description in RNAcentral is "lncRNA (ENSZCAG00015010260.1)". The record is from RNAcentral. Lineage: Eukaryota; Metazoa; Chordata; Mammalia; Carnivora; Otariidae.